AUCUCAUUGACGAGAUCCAAAAUAGUUCGAAACAUCGAUGUCUGAGAU
Non-coding RNA from Octopus bimaculoides (California two-spot octopus), 48 nucleotides. Lineage: Eukaryota; Metazoa; Mollusca; Cephalopoda; Octopoda; Octopodidae. The record is from Rfam.